This is a long non-coding RNA of Eptatretus burgeri (inshore hagfish), 1399 nucleotides long. The record is from Ensembl. NCBI's taxonomy places the organism in Eukaryota, Metazoa, Chordata, Myxini, Myxiniformes, Myxinidae.
CCCCCCCCCAACUCUUAUUUUGUCACAAUGAUAUCAAGCGAUACCUUGUGUCUGGUUCUGCUGAACAGUACGAUAUGAUUUAAAUAUCCUGAAUCGCCCUCUAGAUGGCACUUAAAUGAGAAAAUGGGCUGAAGCCCUUAUUUAUGAACAAUCAAUGGACUGUGUAUAUAAAAACAAAUCCGGGGCUUAAAUAUUUAAUAAAGAGCCAAACCAACACAUCUUACUUUUGAGGAAUUUUCAUUUUGUCCCCCAGAACUGACAGGCGGCAAGGCGUGAUGGCAGAGCUGGUGGUGGGGAUGGUGUUGCUCAUAAUCCCAUAUCUCUGCAAACAUUGCAUUUUCAUUUUCAGAAUUUCGAGCUUGUGCUGUUGGAAGGAUCGCUAAACUUUGACUGUAAAGCAGUAAAAUGUGGGUUUUAUUUGUGGCAAAUCUGAGUCUAUUGUGCACUGUCAUCUUCACUUGCAUUCAAUUUGGCACUGCCGGUUGAGAAGGAUUGAGCUUGAUCCUUUGACCAAGAUGAGAUCUGUGUGCAGACCAUGGCCUUGCCAAACCAAACGCCCCUGCCCGGAACACUCAUAACGUCUGCGGAAAGACCCGUCUCGGACACGGAGGAGUCGUACCUUCACAUCAGCAGCAUUGCGACAGCCCUCACGCAGGCAUCCUUGGACUCAGAUCCCGUGGAACUUGCUGCUAUGAUUUACGAGUUGUCCAAGAAGCAUUUCAACAGGAAGCAUUUCCGAGGCACAGCGGUCGGGCAAGUCUCAACGCAACACAGUGCAGAUGUAAUUAAAUCGACAAAAGUUGCUGGUGUAUCUCCACUACUGGACAAUGAAAGAGCAGUGACCACAUGUCCGCCUGAGUCACCUGUGGGACCUUUAGAGGGGGAUGAUGCUAAAACCCCUCAUUCUGCGAUUCAUCAUCAGCUGGAAGAGGGGCAGCGGCCAGCUGAAUGCGAUCGUGUAACUUCAGGUGUAACAUGCACAAUGUCCCGACCAACACAAGAGGACUCAAGUGCAGUUUCACAUGCCCAAAGUGAGUGUUCAUACUCUGGGCUUUUCAGCCAUAUUUCCUUUUUCAUCUCUCCCAGCAGUUGUACAAGUUUGUGAGCAAAACAAAAGCAACGACGACGCAGAGUUACUACCGACUAUGCGCACACACGGCAACACUUAUACAGUUCUACUUUACAGACUGUGCCAGCACACAUUUACUCAAAAGCAAAGGAAAGAAGCCACUCUCAUAGACAAGGGGGCAGAUGGGCUUGUAGGCCAAUAUGCGCGCGUGACCUGAAGGAGCGGCCAGGCCCGUAAGACCGGGGGGUCCUACCCGCGUCCUCGUGACGCGUUGGCGGACGAGCCGCAGAUGUGACCACGUGGCUGUGCCCCGACUCCGUGCUCCUUGGC